GACCCGCACAAGCGGUGGAGCAUGUGGUUUAAUUCGAAGAUACGCGAAAAACCUUACCUGGCCUUGAUAUCCCAAGAAUCCUGUAGAGAUACGGGAGUGCUUGCUUGCAAGAACUUGGUGACAGGUGCUGCACGGCUGUCGUCAGCUCGUGUCGUGAGAUGUUGGGUUAAGUCCCGCAACGAGCGCAACCCUCGUGUUUAGUUGCUAACAGUUCGGCUGAGCACUCUAAACAGACUGCCUUCGUAAGGAGGAGGAAGGUGAGGACGACGUCAAGUCAUCAUGGCCCUUAUGGCCAGGGCUACACACGUGCUACAAUGGGUAGGACAAUGAGAUGCAAUACCGUGAGGUGGAGCAAAUCUAUAAACCUACUCUCAGUUCGGAUUGUUCUCUGCAACUCGAGAACAUGAAGCUGGAAUCGCUAGUAAUCGUAGAUCAGCAUUGCUACGGUGAAUACGUUCCCGGGUCUUGUACUCACCGCCCGUCACACCAUGGGAGUUGAUUUCACCCGAAGCCAGGAAGCUAGAAUAGCUACUGUCCACGGUGGGAUUAGCGACUGGGGUGAAGUCGUAACAAGGUAACCAAGGGCGAA
This 589-nucleotide ribosomal RNA is filed under the name uncultured bacterium. RNAcentral's name for it is "bacterial SSU rRNA". It matches the Rfam family "Bacterial small subunit ribosomal RNA", at positions 918 to 1510 of the family's 1533-position model. The record is from RNAcentral.